AUUGAACGCUGGCGGCAGGCCUAACACAUGCAAGUCGGACGGUAGCACAGAGGAGCUUGCUCCUCGGGUGACGAGUGGCGGACGGGUGAGUAAUGUCUGGGGAUCUGCCCGAUAGAGGGGGAUAACCACUGGAAACGGUGGCUAAUACCGCAUAACGUCGCAAGACCAAAGAGGGGGACCUUCGGGCCUCUCACUAUCGGAUGAACCCAGAUGGGAUUAGCUAGUAGGCGGGGUAAUGGCCCACCUAGGCGACGAUCCCUAGCUGGUCUGAGAGGAUGACCAGCUACACUGGAACUGAGACACGGUCCAGACUCCUACGGGAGGCAGCAGUGGGGAAUAUUGCACAAUGGGCGCAAGCCUGAUGCAGCCAUGCCGCGUGUAUGAAGAAGGCCUUCGGGUUGUAAAGUACUUUCAGCGGGGAGGAAGGCGAUAAGGUUAAUAACCUUGUCGAUUGACGUUACCCGCAGAAGAAGCACCGGCUAGCUCCGUGCCAGCCGCCGCGGUAA
RNAcentral lists this ribosomal RNA (506 nucleotides) under uncultured bacterium. Its description in RNAcentral is "partial 16S ribosomal RNA". It matches the Rfam family "Bacterial small subunit ribosomal RNA", at positions 30 to 523 of the family's 1533-position model. The record is from RNAcentral.